GGCCAGGUAGCUCAGUCGGUACGAGCGUCCGCCUGAAAAGCGGAAGGUCGCCGGUUCGAUCCCGGCCCUGGCCACC
RNAcentral lists this transfer RNA (76 nucleotides) under Mycobacterium talmoniae. RNAcentral describes it as "tRNA-Phe". It matches the Rfam family "tRNA". From Rfam's summary of the family: Transfer RNA (tRNA) molecules are approximately 80 nucleotides in length. Their secondary structure includes four short double-helical elements and three loops (D, anti-codon, and T loops). Further hydrogen bonds mediate the characteristic L-shaped molecular structure. tRNAs have two regions of fundamental functional importance: the anti-codon, which is responsible for specific mRNA codon recognition, and the 3' end, to which the tRNAs corresponding amino acid is attached (by aminoacyl-tRNA synthetases). tRNAs cope with the degeneracy of the genetic code in two manners: having more than one tRNA (with a specific anti-codon) for a particular amino acid; and 'wobble' base-pairing, i.e. permitting non-standard base-pairing at the 3rd anti-codon position. Lineage: Bacteria; Bacillati; Actinomycetota; Actinomycetes; Mycobacteriales; Mycobacteriaceae. The record is from RNAcentral.